UUUAUUCCCAAUAAAUAUAAGCAUGUAAUUAAACUUUAAGCCAUAAUAAAAAUACGAAGGAACAUUACAUAGUAAUAUUACAACGAAUAUGCCUAAGAAGCACCGGAAUUACAAUAUCCGGCGAGCUCAACUGAGGCAAAUGACCAUCUGAUGCCAUGACUUCGAUAACGGACUCACCACCGAGGUGUUGAUGUAAAUAUUCAGACACAGCCACUGGUACAGCUAAAUCCUUGCCGCUUUGCAAGAUGUGACAAGGCACAGUCACCAAAUGUAGAAUUUGCCUCAAGUCACUUUGUAAUAUGCAUUGCGCAACGGCUAGGGCUAUGUCUGGCCUCAUGUU
This 340-nucleotide unclassified non-coding RNA is filed under the name Hevea brasiliensis (rubber tree). Lineage: Eukaryota; Viridiplantae; Streptophyta; Magnoliopsida; Malpighiales; Euphorbiaceae. The record is from RNAcentral.